UUGGCCUCAACCAUCCUCCCGCUCUCUUCUCUCCUCCUGCUUUCUUUACUUUUUUAGCAAAGGUGCAUGACACAAAAGGCAAGGCUUCUCGUUUGCAUUGGGGCACUGAAAUUAGCAGGCCUGAGUUAAUCUUUAGCGGCAGAUUUUUUUUCAGAUCUUUCCAUUUUGCUGGAAAAGCAGACGCGACGGAGAUCUUGGGAAGUUCCAGAGAAGCAGUUAUGGUGGUUUAAGCGUGUUCUGAGGGUGGUGACCAGCAGCCACACUGACCUCAGGGUCCUUCCUCCCACCAGAGUAGCUCCUCACCCCCCCGCCUGCCCAGUGUUCAGACUACCUGUUCAUCGGGCUUCAGCUGAACAGUAGUCUGCACAUUGGUUAGGCUGGGCUGGGACGCACACUCCAGCCAGCACGGGCAACGUCACAUCACUUUCAGCGCUUUAUCCUAGCGGUGUCAUGGACGCGAUGUCAUUCUGAUGUAUGUGUGUGGUGCAUUAUCACUCUGUCAGUUAGUCAUAAACCUUAUAGAUGUAUGAAAAUGCAGCAAGAAAUGACUCUUACCUCCUCAUCUUUGUACCAGGACAGGGACUCAGCAGUCAGUACAAACCAGUACUCCUUGGAGCCUCCCUUCAUGAUGCUAAUGUGGAUGGUUAGCCAGCCUUUGCGAAUCACCUGGAAGUAGCAGAUGUGGAGGGAGUGGAAAGAAGGGUGGUAGGGGAAAAUGGGGUAACGGGAGGACGGAGGAUAACAGCUUUAUCAGUCUGGCUUAAGGUACUGGUGACAUGACGGGCCCAUCACAUCUUGUAGUAUUAAUCCUGGGGUGCAUGUGAUGGCUAAAAAUAAAACCCUAUUUUCUUACCUGGUAGGUAACUGAAUUUGGUUGUCUUCUAUUUCACAAAUAUUAAAAAAAAGUCAACGUCUCUGGGCUGGAUAAUGAUAAUAUAUGCAUGUGAUAGUACAUAUGCAAAGCAUACAUGUGUAACUUACUGAAGACAGCACAGAGCUGGAAAAAAAAAAUCAUAGUAACAUCGUGUAUAAUCUAUGUCAGAUGACUAAGCAUUAAAAAGUUUUGUUGAAAUCAGUCUUCUGUACUUGACAGUAAAGAAAUCCUCAACCCAACAAGAAGCAUAUACCACAUAUUAGCCCCAAAAUGGAGACAAAGACCAACGGCGAUGUGUUAAGAGUCAGUAGGUCAGUAAAAGCAAAGUUUUCCCACUGCUAAAGAAAAUGGCAUUAGUGAGGUUAACUGGACUUGGUGAUGUGGAGAUCUGAUACCUGAUUAGCAAAGAUGAGUGCAAGAGGAAAAGUGUUAAAAAGAAA
Long non-coding RNA from Thalassophryne amazonica, 1314 nucleotides. RefSeq lists it as uncharacterized. Lineage: Eukaryota; Metazoa; Chordata; Actinopteri; Batrachoidiformes; Batrachoididae. The record is from RefSeq and is a predicted model, not a curated record. The transcript has 2 exons.